CGGGAAGCCCCCUCUCCUCCUGCGGGCACUUCUCGCUGCUGCUGUUGUUGUUGUCGUCCCCCCUCAGACGGGAGGCCGAGAAGCCUCCGAGGCUCCGCGCUCGGCCAGCGUCGCUGAGGAAACAACGAACUUGAGGGAGAUGUUCUGCCGCUUUUGAAGGGUGUUUUUUUCCCCCUCACACAAGAGGUGGCGGGCAGCGGGAGGAGAGGACGUUUGAGAGACGACGACCCACACAGACAGCCGGUGGCAUCCCUGUUCUCGGCUCGCCAGCCCGGCAACUGUACUGUGUUGGCGGGAAGAGACUCUGCCCGCCCCCGCCCAGCGGUCACGCCUACGCGCGCCCACCCGGUGCACGUGAGGACGCUGCUUUGGUUCCGAGCGUUCUCUCGCUGUCUGGGGGAAAUGGGGGCGGGGGGGGCGCCUCUGGAGGAAAGUGCGGAGAAACUGGGUGAGCAGCGCGGAGUUCUCUGCUGCCGCCUGCUGGGCCUUGGGCGAGGAAGCAGCAGCCGCCGCCGCAGUGGCCACAGCAAAACAAAACACGAAAGCAGUAGCAGCCGCAGAGGAGUCCAACUUUUCCAUUUUCGUUUUUUUGGCCUGAGCACGUCUCUGUCAUUCUUGCCCUCCUGAAGGAGGAAAGCUGGGCUAAGUUUUGAAUAAGGAGGGGUUCCCCAUAAGGGUUGCCCUGGCGUUCACCUGUGAAAGGCUCAAGAAAAAUGUAGGUCCCCAUAGAUGACAAUGAGGCGCCCAACACAUCGUGUCAAAUUGUGGGGCUCCUCGACCUCAGGCUAUGGGGGCGAGCCAAACAGACAUGCAGGUACCCCAAAACGAGGCGUUCUGCAAUGUGCUGCAGUCUUUUUAAUGAAGCGUGAGGGUAUAUGUAUAUGCCUCUGACUAAAAUUAAGUUUUACAAACAGAGUUGACUUUCUAAGUCUACAUUUUCUAUUAACCUCAGUGAAAGUUUAAAUACCAAGACCUCAAGAAAUGAAUAGGUAGGUUGGACCUACCAAGGCCCCCUGAAUUCCCCCUUCCCACACCAAAUUGCAAAGGGGAUUCAGACACAGCUGUCAUUUUUGUUUUUCUUAGGAGGAGAAAAGGAAGGCUAGCCUGGUUCAUUUUUGUGGGGACUUUGAAAGAAGCCACUUCAAGUAUUGGGUUUAAAAACAAAACAAAAACAAAACAAUUAAAUUUCAGAGAUGGUAUUAUUCCACCUACACAGUCAAGUGCACAGUUCGAUAAUUGAUUGCAAUUGCUUUAAGAGGAGAUGAAUGGAAGAUACUGUUAUGUAUUUAUAUUUUGAUUUAUGAAUUGGUUUCCAUGAAACAUCUUGACAUGAUAAUAACAUCAUCAACACCAAAAAAAGAUACUACAGCUGCUUUUUUUGAAAAGGAUCUUACAGCUGCUUACAUAACAUCAAUAACCUCAGCUCUCAGGUACAAUAUAAAUACUGACAGCAUGGGAGGACUAGUUCUUUCUUGCCCUCCUUGCAGGGUGCUUGGAGGCACUUGAUUUGCUACCGUGGGAAAUAGGAUGUUAGACUAGAUCAGGGGAGGCCAACAUGGUGCCCUGCAGAAGGUUUUGGACUUCAGCUCCAUUAAUUCCUGACUGUUGGUCACAUUGACUGAGGUUUUUGGAAACUGGAAUCCAACAGCUUCUGGAGAGCACCCUUUUAGCUACACCUGGACUAGAUGUCCUUUUCUUAUGUUCAAAUUAAUGCAUAGAGAAAAGCAACAAACGAAAUCAUAGGAACCCCCGCUGCCGCCAAAAAAAAGCAAUGAAAUGAUUUAUGGCUGUUUUUUAAGGGUUUUUUGAGAGUGCUGUGUUUAAUCUGUACUUUAAUAAAUUUGUUUUAAUUGCUUUAA
This is a long non-coding RNA of Podarcis muralis (Common wall lizard), 1859 nucleotides long. RefSeq lists it as uncharacterized. The record is from RefSeq and is a predicted model, not a curated record. Lineage: Eukaryota; Metazoa; Chordata; Lepidosauria; Squamata; Lacertidae.